UACGUAGGGUGCAAGCGUUAAUCGGAAUUACUGGGCGUAAAGCGUGCGCAGGCGGUGAUGUAAGACAGAUGUGAAAUCCCCGGGCUCAACCUGGGAACUGCAUUUGUGACUGUAGAGCUGGAGUACGGUAGAGGGGGAUGGAAUUCCGCGUGUAGCAGUGAAAUGCGUAGAUAUGCGGAGGAACACCGAUGGCGAAGGCAAUCCCCUGGACCUGUACUGACGCUCAUGCACGAAAGCGUGGGGAGCAAACAGG
Molecule: ribosomal RNA, 253 nt
Filed under: uncultured bacterium
Lineage: Bacteria
Description: partial 16S ribosomal RNA
Rfam family: Bacterial small subunit ribosomal RNA
Source: RNAcentral